RNAcentral lists this ribosomal RNA (700 nucleotides) under uncultured Nitrospira sp. RNAcentral's name for it is "bacterial SSU rRNA". It matches the Rfam family "Bacterial small subunit ribosomal RNA", at positions 62 to 756 of the family's 1533-position model. The record is from RNAcentral. Lineage: Bacteria; Pseudomonadati; Nitrospirota; Nitrospiria; Nitrospirales; Nitrospiraceae.
UCGAGCGAGAAGACGUAGCAAUACGUUUGUAAAGCGGCGAACGGGUGAGGAAUACAUGGGUAACCUACCCUCGAGUGGGGAAUAACUAGCCGAAAGGUUAGCUAAUACCGCAUACGACUCUUGGUCUGCGGAUCGAGAGGGAAAGCGAUACCGUGGGUAUCGCGCUCAUGGAUGGGCUCAUGUCCUAUCAGCUUGCUGGUGAGGUAACGGCUCACCAAGGCUUCGACGGGUAGCUGGUCUGAGAGGACGAUCAGCCACACUGGCACUGCGACACGGGCCAGACUCCUACGGGAGGCAGCAGUAAGGAAUAUUGCGCAAUGGGCGACAGCCUGACGCAGCGACGCCGCGUGGGGGAUGAAGGUCUUCGGAUUGUAAACCCCUUUCAGCAGGGAAGAUGGAACGGGUAACCGUUCGGACGGUACCUGCAGAAGCAGCCACGGCUAACUUCGUGCCAGCAGCCGCGGUAAUACGAAGGUGGCAAGCGUUGUUCGGAUUUACUGGGCGUACAGGGAGCGUAGGCGGUUGGGUAAGCCCUCCGUGAAAUCUCCGGGCCUAACCCGGAAAGUGCGGAGGGGACUGCUCGGCUAGAGGAUGGGAGAGGAGCGCGGAAUUCCCGGUGUAGCGGUGAAAUGCGUAGAGAUCGGGAGGAAGGCCGGUGGCGAAGGCGGCGCUCUGGAACAUAUCUGACGCUGAGGCUCGA